AGUGAACGCUGGCGGUAGGCCUAACACAUGCAAGUCGAACGGCAGCACAGUAAGAGCUUGCUCUUACGGGUGGCGAGUGGCGGACGGGUGAGGAAUACAUCGGAAUCUACUUUUUCGUGGGGGAUAACGUAGGGACACUUACGCUAAUACCGCAUACGACCUACGGGUGAAAGCAGGGGAUCUUCGGACCUUGCGCGAUUGAAUGAGCCGAUGUCGGAUUAGCUAGUUGGCGGGGUAAAGGCCCACCAAGGCGGCGAUCCGUAGCUGGUCUGAGAGGAUGAUCAGCCACACUGGAACUGAGACACGGUCCAGACUCCUACGGGAGGCAGCAGUGGGGAAUAUUGGACAAUGGGCGCAAGCCUGAUCCAGCCAUACCGCGUGAGUGAAGAAGGCCUUCGGGUUGUAAAGCCCUUUUGUUGGGAAAGAAAAGCAGCAGGUUAAUACCCCGCUGUUCUGACGGUACCCAAAGAAUAAGCACCGGCUAACUUCGUG
This 492-nucleotide ribosomal RNA is filed under the name uncultured bacterium. RNAcentral describes it as "partial 16S ribosomal RNA". It matches the Rfam family "Bacterial small subunit ribosomal RNA", at positions 29 to 507 of the family's 1533-position model. The record is from RNAcentral.